CCUACGGGUGGCAGCAGUGAGGAAUAUUGGUCAAUGGGCGAGAGCCUGAACCAGCCAAGUCGCGUGAGGGAGUACUGCCCUAUGGGUUGUAAACCUCUUUUGUCGGGGAGCAAAAGCCGGACGUGUCCGGCUGUGAGAGUACCCGAAGAAAAAGCAUCGGCUAACUCCGUGCCAGCAGCCGCGGUAAUACGGAGGAUGCGAGCGUUAUCCGGGUUUAUUGGGUUUAAAGGGUGCGCAGGCGGAUUGUUAAGUCAGCGGCAAAAUCGUGGGGCUAAACCCAAUCUUGCAGUUGAUACUGGGGUUCUAGAGUGUAGGAGAGGUAGGCGGAAUGCGUGGUGUAGCGGUGAAAUGCUUAGAUAUCACGCAGAACCCCGAUUGCGAAGGCAGCAUACCGGUCCACAACUGACGCUCAGGCACGAAAGCGUGGGUAUCGAACAGGAUUAGAUACCCCUGUAGUC
Molecule: ribosomal RNA, 458 nt
Filed under: uncultured bacterium
Lineage: Bacteria
Description: partial 16S ribosomal RNA
Rfam family: Bacterial small subunit ribosomal RNA
Source: RNAcentral